GAACCUCUUGGGCUUAAUGAUCCUGAAAAGGAGGUUAUUCGAGAUGCUAAAAGAUUACGAGGAUCUGUGGGAUCUGCAAAGAAGUAUAACAGAAAAGCUACACCAAUAAAAAAGACAGUACAGGAACCAGUGGCAAAGAAAUCGGUACAAGAACCUGCGACAAAGAAACACGAACCUGGCACGUCGAAAAAACAGCCGGCACAAGAACCACCUGCUCCUGCACCUACACUUCCUGAAGUUUCAAAACUUGCUCCCGCACCUGUGUCGGUACCUACAAAAGCAGCUAAAUCGACAAAAGCCUCUCCAGCAUACAAAACAAAAACGAUAAAGAAAACUCCUCAGAUAA
Molecule: long non-coding RNA, 346 nt
Organism: Wasmannia auropunctata (little fire ant)
Lineage: Eukaryota; Metazoa; Arthropoda; Insecta; Hymenoptera; Formicidae
Exons: 2
Source: RefSeq, a predicted model, not a curated record